UGGGGAAUAUUGCACAAUGGGCGCAAGCCUGAUGCAGCAAUGCCGCGUGAGUGAAGACGGCCUUAGGGUUGUAAAACUCUUUCGCUAGGGAAGAUAAUGACGGUACCUAGUAAAGAAGUCCCGGCUAACUCCGUGCCAGCAGCCGCGGUAAUACGGAGGGGACUAGCGUUGUUCGGAAUUACUGGGCGUAAAGAGUUCGUAGGCGGACUAGCAAGUUAGAGGUGAAAUCCCAGGGCUCAACCUUGGAACUGCCUUUAAAACUGCUAGUCUAGAGACCGGAAGAGGUUAGGGGAAUACCUAGUGUAGAGGUGAAAUUCGUAGAUAUUAGGUGGAACACCAGUGGCGAAGGCGCCUAACUGGUCCGGUACUGACGCUGAGGAACGAAAGCGUGGGGAGCAAACAGGAUUAGAUACCCUGGUAGUCCACGCCGUAAACGAUGAGUGCUAGAUGUUGGGAUUUUCGGAUUUCAGUGUCGCAGCUAACGCAUUAAGCACUCCGCCU
Molecule: ribosomal RNA, 501 nt
Filed under: uncultured bacterium
Lineage: Bacteria
Description: bacterial SSU rRNA
Rfam family: Bacterial small subunit ribosomal RNA
Source: RNAcentral